AUUGAACGCUGGCGGUAUGCCUAACACAUGCAAGUCGAACGGCAGCACAGUAAGUUCCUGCUCGUACGGGUUGCGGGUGGCGGACGUAAUAGGUAGAAACCUGUAUCUACUUUUUCGUUAGGGAGAAGGUAGCCAGACUUACGCUAAUACCGCAUUCCAGCUGCAGGUGGAAGCCCGUGAUGUUCCGCCCUUUCGGGAUUGAAUGAGCCGAUGUCGGAUUAGCUAGUUGGCGGGGUAAAGGCCCACCAAGGCGACGAUCCGUAGCUGGUCUGAGAGGAUGAUCAGCCACACUGGAACUGAGACACGGUCCAGACUCCUACGGGAGGCAGCAGUGGGGAAUAUUGGACAAUGGGCGAAAGCCUGAUCCAGCAAUACCGCGUGGGUGAAGAAGGCCUUCGGGUUGUAAAGCCCUUUUGUUGGGAAAGAAAAGCAGCGGGUUAAUACAGCGCUGUGAUGACGGUACCCAAAGAAUAAGCACCGGCUAACUACGUG
RNAcentral lists this ribosomal RNA (492 nucleotides) under uncultured bacterium. Its description in RNAcentral is "partial 16S ribosomal RNA". It matches the Rfam family "Bacterial small subunit ribosomal RNA", at positions 30 to 507 of the family's 1533-position model. The record is from RNAcentral.